Molecule: long non-coding RNA, 784 nt
Organism: Pseudophryne corroboree (corroboree frog)
Lineage: Eukaryota; Metazoa; Chordata; Amphibia; Anura; Myobatrachidae
Exons: 5
Source: RefSeq, a predicted model, not a curated record
UUGAAACCAGAGUUUGGGAACCACUGCCCUAAAACUUAGGUGUCCCCCAUUGUCCUAUAAAAAUGUCAGGUUGGAUUUAUAUGUAAGAUUAAAAUAAAAGCGGUCACAAAGUAUAACAUUUCGGUAACGCGGGUGUAAUAGCCGCUCUUCAGCGGUCUCUUGGUCAUUAUUAGGGCGGCUUUACCCCUAUAUUAUAGUUUCUUUUUUUAACCAAUAUCACUGAAAGCACAAAUCAUGGAGAAGCGUAUUAGAGAUUGAUGUCGUGGAGACACAGUUACACCCUUUACAUGCCAUGGCCCGGCCACUGUGAUGUCAAAAAUUCAUCAAUGAAUUGUGAUGUCAUAAGUCUUCAUGCUUCCAGCUGCUUCCAGGCUGCAACAGGCCAUUACCUCCCGGAACAGCUAGAAGAACAGACUUGUCGUGCUCAACAAUGUCAGGAAUAAUGAACAUAAUGAUCAGAUGUGCCAGGAGAUUAGAUGAUGGCCUGACCAUCAUUGAAAAUAACAUUCUUAGAGUUGUGGACGUCUAUGAGCUGGCAAGAAAAGCGCGGAGGCCAAGGCAGAGGGCAUCUAAAAAGAACACGAUGUCCUGGGAUUCGAAUGUCCCUUAUGGAAAACUCCGAUAGACAUCUAGGAGUAUGGGUGUGACCUCUGCGCUGGUGUGGGUAUUAGUAUAAAAUCAAUGUAAGCUGCUGCCUAAUCCAUGUAGAGUCAAUGGGGGGUAAUGGUGAUGUCAGCUGUGAUCACGCAGUAAUCCUCUUGUCUCUAGGAGAGUGUGGCAGACU